ACUGGGAUUAGAUACCCCACUAUGCCCAAUCGUAAACAUAAAUUUUAUUCGCCAGAGAAUAACGAGCUAAAGCUUAAAACUCAAAGGACUUGGCGGCAUUCCACACCACCCUAGAGGAGCCUGUCAUGUAAUCGAUAACCCACGAUAAACCUCACCGCUUUUUGCCCAAUCAGCCUAUAUACCGCCGUCGCCAGCCCAUCUUGAAAAGAGACAAAAUGGGCUUAAUUGUAUUAUCACACUAAUACGACAGGUCAAGGUGUAGCUUAUAAGGCGGGAAAUGAUGGACUACAUUGCUUACGUAAGCAAAACCAAAAUUAUACUGAAAUCACGCAAUUUAAGGUGAAUUUAACAGUAAGACGAGCAAGAAAGCCCAUCUAAAACUUCUGCCCUGGAAAC
This 396-nucleotide ribosomal RNA is filed under the name Furcifer labordi. RNAcentral's name for it is "partial 12S ribosomal RNA". It matches the Rfam family "Bacterial small subunit ribosomal RNA", at positions 771 to 1369 of the family's 1533-position model. The record is from RNAcentral. Lineage: Eukaryota; Metazoa; Chordata; Lepidosauria; Squamata; Chamaeleonidae.